AGUGUGUUUGUGUGUGUGUGUUCAGGUGUUUACAUGCGAGGGAUUCUCAUGUACUGCUGCAUAUUUGUGAUCUUGGUGAACAUUAUUAUAUCUUGUUGACACGUGCCUACUCAGUAAUUUUAUUUGUAUUCAGAUAAUCUUAUAUAAAGAUGGGAAGAAUAGGACACCUCAUCUUGCUAUUCCGAGGUGUUGUUGCAUACAGAGCUUGAUAUUUGUUUUAGACAGAUACUAACUGUAAGCUCACGCUUUGACAUUCUAGUUGUAGUAGUUUAGUAUUUGGAUAAUUAAUUCUUAUCAAGUCUUUAUAUUGUGUAUUCUUGUGUUCAUAUGUGUAUUUAGAUAUUGUAGUGUUAAUGUUAAUUGUUAGCCUUCUAUGUAUUUACUGUUAUGGUGUUAUUCCUGAAUUGUCUGCAAUUCUUUUUUACAAUUUAUUUCCAUCAACUCAUUCACCCACCCACUGCAUAGAAGAUCUAGUCCCUCUGUGUUGAUAUUUCAUCAAACAAGCAAUCCAGCACUGUUGCAUAAAGUACAAUAAUAUUUCGAAAUUCAAUGCUUUUAAUGAUUUUGCAUAGUCUGUGUCAAUUCAUUGAAACACAAGCUAUUACAGAUAAGACAAACACUCAUAGUAAGAGUGAGAGGCAAAACAAAAGCAUUUAAUUCCUCAGCGAAGAAUAAAAAACAGGUGACCCAAACACAGUAAACAGGCGUCCAUACUCAGGCCCGUCGUUAUAAAACACCAAAGAGGGCCAGCUUCAGGUAUGUCAUAGGGAAGGCAGUAUUAUUACUGUGUGUUAAUGCGUAGGACUGGGUGAGUGAGAUAACACAAUAGAUGAAAAUGCAGCAAUUGUUUCAAUUCUUUAAUAUGAUGAACAAUUCAAUGAGUUGCGCUUGCAAUUUCAAAUAGAAUUAUUAUUUUAAAUGAAUACUGGACAAUUGAAACAAAUAAUUAGUUCUCCUGUCCACCCAGUUAGUUUUCUCUGGCAACGGGUCGGUCAUUCUGCAGGUAAAAGCUGAUAACAGGGCAACUUCAUUCACUGAGCUUCGCUUUGAGAACAAACAGUUACCGCGAGAUAAAUGAACCGCUAAACUUCUCCGUUUCCAUGGGUGUCCAAGUGAGGUGGUCAGACACAGCAGCAGGUGACGCACGAGCAACCUGUCAUUAUUAAUGUCCCUGAAUCUUCUGUGCCUUUAGAUUUGCAGCCAUGCAGUAUUUAGAGGGUUAACACCCCAUUUCAGAACGGUGUAGUCCAAUAAACCAGCCAUUGGAAGAAAAGUCCUUUUCUUCAACACAUUUUCGUUGCUUAAAGAGCUUCAAUCAAUCACCAUUAGCAUACCUCUUGGCUCGUGUUCGUUCAAUUAAUUAAAUUCAAUAGCCCAAGUCAAAGCCUCAUGUUGUGCUAUCUAUUAUCAUUCAUUAGGAAUGAAAAGGCUUUAAACUUCAAUAUGCUCCAUAUCCAGCAGCACAAAGCACAAAUAAAUUAAGAGGGAUAAAAGAAAUCAAACAUUUGGGAAUGUGUGAUUCUCAUUCCAACUGCUUUGUUUGCCGACACACACAUAUGAAAAUACUAAGGUCCUAAGAAGUAAAGUUCAGCAGAUGUGAGAGGCCUGCAGCAGGUGGCUUCUUUUCUUUCUACAUGCACCCUUUCACUUUCAGUACAGCCUGCAAAGCAAACACAAAGUUACAGCAAAUUGCCUCAUGGAGCUCAUUUCUUUUACGAUAAGGGACAAAUUAAUUCUAACGCAAUGUUCCAGCCAGCCACAACAGCACGGAUUUAACACAUUAAAUAUUCUGUUUUUGUGUUUGGCUCGCUUGCUGAAAGGUAAAUUGCAAGUAUUCAUAAAUGAGCAGCCAAUGUUCCCUCAACAGGUCUUUGAUACGGAAGAGUAUGAGCUUCGGAAGAAUUUCCUUUAACCCUUGUGUUGCCUUAGGGUCAUUUUGACCCGAAUCAAUAUUACACCCUCCCCCCGCCUUAGGAUUAAUUUGACCCCAUUCAAUGUUUAAUGUCGGUGUUCUUUCGGUAGUCAACAAACAAACAUAAAGUGCCUCACACUUAAACUUGGAAAACAAUAUUAAUUCUAAUAAUUUUCUGGAGGUUUUAAUUGCUGGCGUCAAAUUGAACCCAAAGGGUAAAAUAUGUUAGUAAAUAUAAAGGUAACAGGAGGGUGAAACAUUGAAUCGGGUCAAAAUGACCCAAAGGCGGGGGGAGGGUGUAAUAUUGAUUCGGGUCAAAAUGACCCUAAGGCAACACAAGGGUAAAGUUAAAGUUCCACUAAAGGUCUUGCAAUCUGAUGUCCUGUUUCAAGUUUACUUUAUGACAACAUAAAACACAUCUGCUCAUUCUUUAUGGACUGACUGAUUGCUGAGCCAAUGAACACAUAACAGCUUCAACACCCAGCCAGACAUUUACACAGUGAAGCCACCGGCCUGAUUUAGAACGAAUGAAGCUUUAAUAUUAAAAGCUCCAAGAUAGUUUGAACGCUAUAAUAAAACAACUUUUGUGGCAUUGCUACAGACAUAAUGUAUUUAAUAUAGACCUGAAUAAAUAAACGUAAUCACUUACUCUUCAUCUUCUUUCGAGUGCGAUGCAAUAAAUAAAGAGCCAACAGGGAGUCUUCUAUUAGAAUAUACACUUUUAUUAAUCCCCAAGGGGAAAUUAGUUCUCUGCAUUUAACCCAUCCUUAGUUAUUAAGGAGCAGUAGGCUGCGGUGAAGCGCCCGGGAAGCAACUGGGGGUUCAGUGCCUUGCUCAAGGACACUUCGACUUGCAACUAAUGGGGAGAGCGGGGAUCAAACCCACAACCCUGCGGUUGCAGGACGGCCCUCUUACCCCACUGAGCUAAAGCCGCCCCAGUUUAGCACACCCCCCGGUAGAUUAAAUCAGGAGGAGAACUAAUAAAUACGUGUAGGUUUGGGUAAAAACUACUUAUCUCCAGUUGAGGUGGUCUGAGUUAUAAUAAACACAAUGUUUUGCUACAGUAAAAAAUAUUUUUACUGGAGAUGCAUCAUAACUUUCAUUUAUUUAACCCUUGUGUUGCCUUCGGGUCAAUUUGACCCGAUUCAAUGUUUCACCCUCCUGUCGCCUUCGGGUCAAUAUGACCCGAUUCAAUGUAACCCUCCUGUUACCUUUAUAUUUACGAACAUAUUUUACCCUUGAGGUCAAUAUGACCCCAGCUAUUAAAAUCUCCAGAAAAUUAUUAGAAUUAAUAUUGUUUUCCAAGUUUAAGUGUGAGGUACUUUAUGUUUGUUUGUUGACUCCCGAAAGAACACCGACAUUAAACAUUGAAUCGGGUCAAAUUGACCCGAAGGCGACAGGAGGGUUAAAAGGAAAUCUGGGGUUGGGAGGGGGGCUUCAUUCACUCUUUGCACUUUGAUUCAUCAUAAUAGAUAUUUGACCUGGAAUACAAACCACAUUGUUUUCUCCCCAUUGACAAAAGCAGCAUUCUUUGCCCGAGAAGUGAGUAUUAUCAUGAAGUUAAAACCAAGGCCGCCAAGUGGCUAAGAUUCAUAGGGGUUUGCUUCAUGUGUCUCCACAUUCCGAACUGGAGUGCCUCUUGACUUGAAGGCUUCUUGAGAAAGCCUUUAUCUGGAGCUAAAGCUUGGUACACUUUGCAGAAUGGCUGCUGUAAGCAGCUCCUCGUGGCCUUUCACACACACUCUGUCCUCCAAGUUUAAAUGUCAAGCCCACAUUAGCUUGUGAAGCCCUGCAUAGAUACAACAAGUUGUCUGACAGCCAAGGUUCAGACUUACACACACACACACACACAAUACCUUACACACUAUAUCAAGAUUACAUCACAGAGUGCAAAACACACUGUAUACUUGCUUCCAGUAUUUGAAUGCAAUGAGGUUACUGUCAAUCUAAUGGAUAUGACAUCCAAGCGAUGGGUUGCACACACACACACACACACACACACACACUUGUCCUCAACCUGUCAUAGUCCUGCCACCUGUCAUAUGGUCACGGCCAGAGGAGGCAGCAACGAAGCGGAACAACAAGGCAAGAGCACGAUUCCUCCACACGUACAGUAUGCACACUCAUACGGAACCUCAACGCAAACACUGCCUGAACCACACACAUAUCCUCCAUGGCAGACACCAUCUCUCACUUUGACAUGGCAUCUCAUAAGUCAGCUGCCAAGGCUAGGGGGAGGUGAUGGAGGGUGCAGUGGGAGGAGAAAGGGACGGCAGGUAAAGGCUAGAGGAGGUAUAGAGAAAGAAUAAGGCAGUGCCGGAGCAUGAUAACCCAAUUUGUUAGUGGUGGAUAAAUAGAGGUCUGGGAGGUAAAUCACCUCGAGGAGAGCAAAUGAAAUAAAUAUGGAGAGAAAAACAGCGAGGGGGAGGGCAAGGGAUGAGGCGGAUUGGCCUGGAAUAAACAACUUGUAAAUAUGGCCAACCGUGCUCGUUGGUGAGAGGCUAUAUUUCAAUAUUGAGCAUAUAAAAAGGCUACACGGAGGAAUUAUAUCUGCUACCAACUGAACUAAAAAGUCAUAAAUCUUCUUGCAACUGACCUAUUUUGAAGACACAGACAAACAGUAUUGGGUUCAACAUUUCUUCGUCAGCAAGGCCUUAUCUGUUACUAGAUGUGUGGGCUUGUUAAUUAUAUUUUGUUUGUCUCUAUAUAUUUAACAUCCUAUUGUACUUGCAUCUAAAUCUGAGUACUUAUAUAAUUUUCUCUUGGGGAAGAGAAGCCUGUUUAAUAGUUCUUACACACACUUUUGUACUUAAGGAAUCAAUAAUAAAACACUACGAUCCAGAACGUCACUCACUCAACUUUGUCACUGUGUGCUUCCCAAUUAGCCUUUUUAAAAACACGGCUCAGCACUUUGUUCCUUGUUCAUGAAAGUUGCUUGCCAAAAAUCUUCUCUGGAAGUACUUUGUUGUGUCAGAUUUGCAUCAGAGUAAUGGCCCAUAAGGGAUGUGCUGCUGAAUUAAAAAGGACAACAAAUUACCUCUCUCUCUCCCCCCCUCUUCCCCCGCCCUCUCUCUCUCUCCCUCUCUCCAACACAUCCAUUUUUUUGUUGAGAAUGUAAGAGAUGCCAUCAUCCCCUCCUGUGUGGUUACACCAUGAUUACUCAAGCCAGCUUCUCCCCUCCAUUGCUGGGACUCGAGACAAAAGAAAUAUGGAUUCACGCUGGAUCCAUGUUGGGCGGACAAGCCUCAUUUCCUCCCCGUCAGUUAUCCAUAUUCGGAUGUAGAAGUGCACCUUAAACAUACGUUUGCUUAUCAAUACAUACCUGAGCCCCACUCAUUAAAACUGUCAAUUAGAAGAACGACAAAGAUGUGAAAUUUAAGCGAUGGUGUCAUCUGUGACAUUCGCUAACAGCACCAGAGCAGCUUCCAUACGCAUGAUGUUGCUAGUUAUAGUGCCUGUACCACUGAUACAGCACAUAUAUCUGUAGCCCAUUAUUACAGUGAUAUCCCAAACAUCAUUCUUAAAUGUCAGAAACAUGACCACUAGUCAAAUGAUAGAGCUCAUGUUUAAAUAAAUUUCACAGAGUUCUUUUUAAGUCAGAGUACAAUUAGGAGUCAGUAAAACAGUUUAAUGAUGGCUCAAACCAUGUUGGUCUAUCAUUGUGCAUUCAUUUACAGACACACAGAAUGCGCUGUAGACUGCCAAAUUCAACAACAACAUUGAAAUUGGCAAAAAACCUAAACAAUCACUAACAACAUAGUUUGAUGUUUCAAAUUAUAUUUCAUGUCCACCUUAUCACAUUACCUGCAGCUCUCUAGAAAAUUGUGUGUCCGCUACCAUGAAGUAUGCAGGAGGUGUUUGAAUUGGCAUAUGCAUGAUUUUAUGCGUAUGCAUUUAUUAUGCAUUUGGCCCUAGUGUUUGACUAAAUAUGGUGCCGUUUUUAAGCAGAAGGUUUUUGAAGGCCAAGUUCCAGACAUGGAUGGAUCAUUAAAUCUAUUUUUCAGUCUAAAUAUUGAAUCAAAAAGUAGAAACUCAGUUUGUCCUAAAUGUGUUGACAAAAGGUUUCUUUUUGUGUAUGAUUGUAAUAGUGAAUAAAGACCUAAGCAGCUUUAUAGACAGUGUUGAAAACAUGUCAUUGAACACUUUCUCAAUCGACAGGUUAUGUCGUGGUUCACUUGUAGAUUAGGAUCUGUAGGCAUUUUCUUUUAUUUUCAUAUCUACCCUUCUUUUUUACAAAAUUGUGAUCCAAAAACAUUCAGGGAGUGCAGUUAGUUACAGUGUGGGCUCCAUGCUCGGUCUGACAGCUUAAUGGUGAGGCAGCCGUGAACAACAUAGGUGCAAGGCUAAGCAAAGGGUGAAUUGAGAAUAACAGUUUUCCUUAAACUUGAUGAAAACCAUAUAAAUGACAAAACAUACAGAACUACAGACUAUCUGCAUACUCAUGUGCAGUUAUUUAAUAAUACCAUGAGAGCAAUUCAGAAAAAUCCCCAUGACUGUCAGGACACAGGUUAUUUAUCCAUGGCUUCAACACGUAAAGUAAGCCAAUGGGUGUUAGACCAUUAGAAGGGAUUGGCUUAUUUAUAGGGAGUGCUGGUCUCUUUAUUGUACCCCAUACCUUCUGUUCUGUCAUGAGCAACCAUCCAAAAGUGCACUGAACAGCAAGAAUGGAGUUAAAUUAGUGAACAUCAAAUGGCAAAGAAUUUAUGACCAGAAUAUAUGCAGUAUAUAUACACGGACACUAAGCAGUGUUAAGUGAACUUAUAAAAACAUCAGCACUUACAACAUCAACGACAGUUAAUAGUCACCCUAAAACAAAUUCAGACAGAUGUAGUGGAGAAUAUAAUUAUUUUAAAGAGGCUUUUGGAUAUAUAUCUUUUUUUGGCUUCAAGACAACUUGAAUUCAAAGGCUGAACCUCAAAUGUUGACGAUGUUCAUUAUGGCAAUUUUCUUGUCACUCUUGAGUUGCCACAUUAUCAACCCCAUUCAGAUGAGCAAUUAGAAAAAGUAAGGCAAAAAAGAGAGAGUUAACUCAUUAUCUAAGUGGUGAGAAGCAGAACGAGCUCCCUUCAAUGAGCUCUGUGGUAAAAGAGUGCUCAUCGCUAUCCUGGCAGAAGGAGAACAUGCAAUAUCUAACCCUGUGUUCCAAAACUCAGUGUCGGUCGCUGGCAUGAAUAUUAUCUGCUUCGAGUGGCCAAACAAUGUACCAACCAAUGUUCCGACUGCAACCAACCAAUAUUGAAUCAUGUCUGCCUGUUCUGUUUGUUAAAUCUCACUACACAGAUUUACACUCUACCUUUGUAUCAUAAUGUUUUGAGUUGCCCCUGAAGCCAAUAACGGAAAAUAAUGUCAGUAUUUGACAACGUAUGCCUCUGUUGACCUUUGCUAAUUGGAUAUAUACACAUAUUAUAUUUUAGGUUGGCUCUGAGGUCAUGUAUUGUAUUAGAGUUGUUGCUUAGGUUGUAGAGUUGUAUCAGAGUGUUGCAUGGUAUUCCGAAACUAAAAAAGGUAUGGCAACACCUUGUAGUUAGCUAAUGGCACUUUAAGUAUGACAGUUUUUUUACAAUUGGAUCCAACCGGAUCGGUGGUUUUAACUUUGCAUCAGUCAAAUAAAAAUACUGCUUGUUUUAUCAGUCCACGUUUUAUGAAACGCGGUAGCAAUAAUCUACAAGGUAGCAAUAAUCUGAUGUGCCCUAUACUUGCCCUAUAUCACAUUAAGUAUAGGGCACAUCAGAUUAUUGCUACCGUGUAGAUUUGUUUAAUUAAUAAAUGUUUACAUAUUUAUUGUAUUACUUUUUCUGACGUUUGAGAUUUUUGCCACGCUUUUCUGUCAGUAUCAGUAUAGAGAUAUUUGGUGAACUGUAUAAAAGUCAUAUUUUUGGUAUUGUGACAGCACUAUAGCAUCGGGAAAUACUUUUUGUAAUGUAUACUGAUGAAUAAUCAAUGUAUUUAUUACAAUGUCCAUGUUUUAUGCUGAUUCAUGCUAUAUGGAAAAACUAUUUGUUUAGAAAAUUCAUUGUAAGCGGUCAACAUGUAAACCGUAAACAUUAUAAAACGUGUAGAUCGCCUGAGCAUAUAUUUAAGCGAAUGAAAAAUCAGACAUUUUCAAAUCCAAUUUACAGUCCCAGUUGUAAUGAACAUAAUUCAAAAUGUAGAUCCAUGGGAUAUUGGUUGUAUGGAUUGUAUUAUGAUGAUGACUGCAAUAAGAGAGGGAGAAACUAAAUCUUAUUUGCAGAUUGCAUGAUUAAAUAUUUAAUAUAUCUACAAGUUAUUAUUAGUUCAUUAGCAGUUUCUGGUCUGGUGUGAAUAAAGGCACAGUGGGUCAUGUACCUAUUUUGUUAAAGCCUGA
This is a long non-coding RNA of Pseudoliparis swirei, 8258 nucleotides long. RefSeq lists it as uncharacterized. NCBI's taxonomy places the organism in Eukaryota, Metazoa, Chordata, Actinopteri, Perciformes, Liparidae. The record is from RefSeq and is a predicted model, not a curated record. The transcript is spliced from 2 exons.